AGAGUUUGAUCCUGGCUCAGGACGAACGCUGGCGGUGCGCCUAAUGCAUGCAAGUCGGACGAGUUUUGGUGGGGCAACUCAUCAAAGCAGUGGCAGACGGCUGAGUAACACGUAAGUGAUCUACCCCGGAGAGGGGGACAAUCCGGAGAAAUCUGGUCUAAUACCCCGUACGUUCCUCGUAUUACGGUACGAGGAGGAAAGGGGCACGGAGUAAUCCGUGUCUGCUCUGGGAGGAGCUUGCGGCCUAUCAGGUAGUUGGUGGGGUAACGGCCUACCAAGCCGAAGACGGGUAACCGGUGUGAGAGCACGAUCGGUCAGAGGGGGACUGCGACACGGCCCCCACUCCUACGGGAGGCAGCAGCAGGGAAUCUUGCGCAAUGGGCUGAAAGGCCUGACGCAGCGACACCGCGUGGGGGAAGAAGGUCUUCGGGUUGUAAACCCCUUUUCCUAGGGAGGAUUAUGACGGUACCUAGGGAAUAAGCAUCGGCUAACUACGUGCCAGCAGCCGCGGUAAUACGUAGGAUGCGAGCGUUGUCCGGAUUUACUGGGCGUAAAGGGCGUGUAGGCGGCUUGUUAAGUCCCGUGUGAAAUCUCCCGGCUCAACUGGGAGGGGUCACGGGAAACUGGCUGGCUUGAGGACGGUAGAGGAAAGCGGAAUUCCCGGAGUAGUGGUGAAAUGCAUAGAUACCGGGAGGAACACCAGUGGCGAAGGCGGCUUUCUGGGCCGUUCCUGACGCUAAGGCGCGAAAGCUUGGGGAGCGAACCGGAUUAGAUACCCGGGUAGUCCAAGCCCUAAACGAUGGAUGCUAGGUAUGGGGGGUAUCGACCCCUCCCGUGCCGUAGUUUACGCGAUAAGCAUCCCGCCUGGGGAGUACGGCCGCAAGGCUAAAACUCAAAGGAAUUGACGGGGGCCCGCACAAGCAGCGGAGCGUGUGGUUUAAUUCGAUGCUAAGCGAAGAACCUUACCAGGGCUUGAAAUAUACGUGCAAGCCAACGAAAGUCGGCCCUCCUUCGGGACAUGUAUACAGAUGUUGCAUGGUUGUCGUCAGCUCGUGCCGUGAGGUGUUGGGUUAAGUCCCGCAACGAGCGCAACCCUUGUCGUUAGUUGCUUUUUCUAGCGAGACUGCCCCUUACAAGGGGGAGGAAGGUGGGGAUGACGUCAAAUCAUCACGGCUCUUACGUCCUGGGCUACACACACGCUACAAUGGUCAAUACAAAGGGUUGCCAAGGAGCGAUCCGGAGCUAAUCCCAAAAAGUUGACCCCAGUUGGAAUUGCAGGCUGCAACUCGCCUGCAUGAACGAGGAGUUGCUAGUAACCGCAGGUCAGCAUACUGCGGUGAAUACGUUCCCGGGCCUUGUACACACCGCCCGUCAAGUCAUGGAAGUUGGCAAUACCUGAAGUCGCUGGGCUAACCCGCAAGGGAGGCAGGCGCCGAGGGUAGGGUUGAUGACUAGGACUAAGUCGUAACAAGGUAGCUGUACCGGAAGGUGUGGUUGGAUCACCUCCUU
RNAcentral lists this ribosomal RNA (1509 nucleotides) under uncultured Chloroflexota bacterium. RNAcentral describes it as "bacterial SSU rRNA". It matches the Rfam family "Bacterial small subunit ribosomal RNA". The record is from RNAcentral. Lineage: Bacteria; Bacillati; Chloroflexota.